RNAcentral lists this ribosomal RNA (1491 nucleotides) under Loigolactobacillus coryniformis. RNAcentral describes it as "bacterial SSU rRNA". It matches the Rfam family "Bacterial small subunit ribosomal RNA". Lineage: Bacteria; Bacillati; Bacillota; Bacilli; Lactobacillales; Lactobacillaceae. The record is from RNAcentral.
GACGAACGCUGGCGGCGUGCCUAAUACAUGCAAGUCGAACGCACUGACGUCGACCGAAGCUGCUUGCAGUGGACGUUGAUUGACGUGAGUGGCGGACGGGUGAGUAACACGUGGGUAACCUACCCUUAAGUGGGGGAUAACAUUUGGAAACAGAUGCUAAUACCGCAUAACCAUUCAGACCACAUGGCCUGAAUGUAAAAGACGGCCUUUGGCUGUCACUUUUGGACGGACCCGCGGCGUAUUAGUUAGUUGGUAAGGUAACGGCUUACCAAGACAAUGAUACGUAGCCGACCUGAGAGGGUAAUCGGCCACAUUGGGACUGAGACACGGCCCAAACUCCUACGGGAGGCAGCAGUAGGGAAUCUUCCACAAUGGACGAAAGUCUGAUGGAGCAACGCCGCGUGAGUGAAGAAGGUUUUAGGAUCGUAAAACUCUGUUGUUGGAGAAGAACAGGGACUAGAGUAACUGUUAGUCCUUUGACGGUAUCCAACCAGAAAGCCACGGCUAACUACGUGCCAGCAGCCGCGGUAAUACGUAGGUGGCAAGCGUUGUCCGGAUUUAUUGGGCGUAAAGCGAGCGCAGGCGGUUUUUUAAGUCUGAUGUGAAAGCCUUCGGCUUAACCGAAGAAGUGCAUUAGAAACUGGGAAACUUGAGUGCAGAAGAGGACAGUGGAACUCCAUGUGUAGUGGUGAAAUGCGUAGAUAUAUGGAAGAACACCAGUGGCGAAGGCGGCUGUCUGGUCUGUAACUGACGCUGAGGCUCGAAAGUAUGGGGAGCGAACAGGAUUAGAUACCCUGGUAGUCCAUACCGUAAACGAUGAAUGCUAAGUGUUGGAGGGUUUCCGCCCUUCAGUGCUGCAGCUAACGCAUUAAGCAUUCCGCCUGGGGAGUACGACCGCAAGGUUGAAACUCAAAGGAAUUGACGGGGGCCCGCCAAGCGGUGGAGCAUGUGGUUUAAUUCGAAGCAACGCGAAGAACCUUACCAGGUCUUGACAUCCUUUGACCACUGUAGAGAUACAGCUUUCCCUUCGGGGACAAAGUGACAGGUGGUGCAUGGUUGUCGUCAGCUCGUGUCGUGAGAUGUUGGGUUAAGUCCCGCAACGAGCGCAACUCUUAUGACUAGUUGCCAGCAUUUAGUUGGGCACUCUAGUAAGACUGCCGGUGACAAACCGGAGGAAGGUGGGGAUGACGUCAAAUCAGCAUGCCCCUUAUGACCUGGGCUACACACGUGCUACAAUGGUCGGUACAACGAGUUGCGAACCCGCGAGGGUAAGCUAAUCUCUUAAAGCCGAUCUCAGUUCGGAUUGUAGGCUGCAACUCGCCUACAUGAAGCCGGAAUCGCUAGUAAUCGCGGAUCAGCACGCCGCGGUGAAUACGUUCCCGGGCCUUGUACACACCGCCCGUCACACCAUGAGAGUUUGUAACACCCGAAGUCGGUGGGGUAACCCUUUUAGGGAACUAGCCGCCUAAGGUGGGACAGAUGAUUGGGGUG